AAGCCAGGACCCAUGGAGUCUGAUCUACAACACAAGCAGUAGCAGUUCCACAUCUCCCUACCACCUCUUAUUUCCUACGAAGUCUUUCUGCCUGAAACUGGAAAACCCGAACUAUUAUUGAGGAAGUGAAGCCCUUCCAUUUGAAUCCUGAGAAAGACGCGCUCAAAGAACCCAGCGAACAAAGGAGAGGGUUGGAGCCCACGCAAAACAUGGGUGUGAUAAAGCCACACGCGACCUGAGCCCCCACCCUCAGUAACUACUCUCCAGCGCCCACCGGGAGGAGGGGUCCGGGGAAAGGAUUGGCAUCCUCUGCUUCUGCAGAAAACAUGGCUACCAACAGCUUCUGUAUCCACCUGCGGAGGAGACUGACUGCUCUGUUAUUCCCCCAGCAUCUGUGAAGAGGCUCUGACUGGCUAAAGUGUUGGAAGGAGUCUGUAGCUUUAGGGGAAGACAGAGCCACAAGAUGGAAGGAGCUUGGAUGUCUGAACUAUUCCAUGGAGAAAAGCUGCAGCCAACGAAGAACACCUGCAAUGGACUCUUAACCUGGGGGUGACGACAACCACUGAAAUAUGCUGCAUCUUAGUCCAGGGAUUUUUAAAGUGUGGUUCCUGGAAGAGCUGGAUCAGAGUCAUCUGUGUUGAUGGUUUAACAUAAAGAUUUUCGAGCCCCAAGACUCAAGUAGGACAAGGAAUUUGAAUUUUUAAGCAGCUCACCUGACUUGUCUGUCCUCUAAUGUCUGAAGACAUCUGACCUCUGCUCUUUCAGUAAAAGCAACAAUGGUUUUAUGAGCAUUGUCGUCACAUCUCUCCACUCAAGGGAUCCUUCUCAUUUCUCCCAGCUGAGGUCACCCACAGCUGCUGCUUCUAACUGCUGGCUUCCAGCCUGCUGUCUGCCAGCUGGCUCUACCCUCUCCUAUAACACGGCAGAGAGUAGCUGUGGUCUCCUGCGUGCUCACCCUCUGCUCCCUUGGUCCUGCUCCAUGCUUUGGUCCUGCACUUAAAUUUUACAAGCAUACUCUCUUUCUCUUAAGAAUGAUUUUCAAUGCCAUUUAGAGGAAAUCUUGGGAUCAACUUGGGAAAAGACGGAGGCUCCUGGCUCUGAUCUUUGGGGACUUCAGAUUUUCUGGAUCAAGGUGAGAUACUACAAAUUUGUAAGAAGAAAAGAAAUGUUUUCUCUUUUCAGCAUAAAAGCCAUAAUGUUAAGGAUAUUAAAAAAUAUCAUGUAAUGUGCACUUUGCAUAAACUUAUCUGAAAUUUAGCAUGAAAAUUGUUUUUUACUCUGAGCUACAGGGAAGGUGUCCCAGAAGAAAUGAGGCUUGCUCACUCCAUGUUUCCAUCACCAGGGGAUUGUGUCCUGCAGGGUCACUCUGCCUGCAUUCACUAGGCCUGUUCAGUCUUAGGGAUUUGCAAAGGUUCUCCUAUCCUUCAGGACUUCUGUUUGGAUUGUUCGGAAAUGUCCUUUGUGAUUGAUGGCUCUUGCCUCAUCACCCAUUCAUGAUGAAGGGGAAUAAGCUGAUUAAACACGACAUUUUGUGAGCCCUCCAUUUCCUCUUGCUUCUUGUAUUAGUUUUCUAUGGCUACUGUAAUAAAUCAACACAAAUUUAGUGGCUUAGAACAACAUGAACUUGUUAUCUUGCAUUUCUGUAGGUUUAGAAAUCCAACACAGGUCUCACCAGGCUGAAAUCAAGUUGUUAGCAGGGCUACGUUCCCUUCUGGAGGCCCUGGGGGAAAGCUGUCCCCUUGCCUUUUCCAGCUUCUAAAGGCUGCACACAUUCCUUGGCUUCUAGCCCCUUCUUUACAUCAUCAAAGCCAGCAUUGUUGCAUCUCCCUGAAGGUCCUUGAAGUGUAAACCCAUUCUUCAGUUCUUAUCAUUCCACUAACUGCCCCUUACUGCCUCACUUUUCUACCUUUAAGGACCCUUAUGAUUACAUCAGGACCACCCAGAUAAUCCUUGAUACUCUCCUCAUCUCAAGGCCCUUAACUUCAUCAUAUCUGCAAAGUCCCUCUUGCAAUGUAAGCUAACAUAGUCACAUGUUCCCGAGAUUAGGAUGUAGGUAUCUUUGAGGGAGGGCAUUAUUCUACCUACCACUCUUCUUAUUAAGAUUAUGUAUUUCUUUAAAAAUUAAGAAACAUAAAGUUUAUUGCUAUAUUAUAAUUUUCAUCAUGAUAAAGUCAAGGUUGAAGUGCAAUAGAUUAUUUGUAAAAAUGGUCACAAUAAUUUCCUGUCUUAUUGGGCAUGGCAGCUCAUGCUGAGGUUGGGGGAAGGAUUGCUUGAAGUAAGGAAUUCAAGACCAGCCUAGGCAACUAAGAGAGAUUCCAUCUCUUCAAUUUUUUUUUUUUUUUUUUUUCUGAGACAGGAUCUUAAUCUGUUGCCCAGGCUGGAGUGCAGAGGCAUGAGCUUGGCCUUCUGCAACCUCUGCCUCCUAGUCUCAGGUGAUCCUCCCACCUCAGCCUCCUGAGUAGCUACAGGUACAUGCCACCACACCUGGCUAAUUUUUUAAAAAUUCUUUUGCCCAGGCUGGUCUUGAACUCCUGAGCUCCUGUGAUCUGCCUGCCUCAGCCUCCCACAGUGCUGGGAUUACAGGCAUGAGCCACCAUGCCUGGCCAAAACAUUUUUAAAAAAAUGAUUUCCUUUCCUUUCCUGUAUCCACACCCUUAUGAAAUCCCCUCUCAUGUGGACUUUGAGCUUGGCCAUAUGACAUACUUUGGCCAGUGAGACUACUGCAAACAUGAUGGAAGCGGAUACUUAAAAAGUACUUGCACACUGGGACUUGCCUUCUCUUGCUACUCUUAAGCCCUUUCUGACUACCAUGUGAAGAGGCCUGGUGCAUAUACUAAGUGAGAAGAUACAUGUGACCUAGGCACCUUUGUCAUCAAGCCAACAGCUAACACUGGGAGGUAGCACCAAUCACUAAGCAGCACAAGCCACCAGACAUUUAGAUGAGGCCACCUGAGAUCAUCCAGGCAGCAGCUGACCCGGCAGAAACCACAGGUAUGUGAAAGAGGCCAGCAGAGGGAAGACAAGCUGGGCCAGAACAGAAGAAUUGUCCAGCUGAACAACAGAAUUGUGAACUAAAUUAAAUUUUGGGGGGAUGGUUGGCUGUGUGGCAAAGGUUAAUUAAUGUGGGAAGGGAUAGGUAAACUAGAAACCAAAGUUGAGAAUAAGGUUGAAUAAACGAAAGUUUAGUUGCAAGGGAGUGGUGACAAAGAAGAGCCCUUAAAGGCAAAAUCAUAGACAACGUUUUUUGGAGAGAUCAUUUGCACAAGUACAGUAGAGGCCCCUCCUUCCUCCUCCACCUUCAUGCCCUGACUCUGUGGACGUUCAGUGUCACAAGAAAUGCUCCAAUAAUCCCUUUCAUGGAAUGAUAUAAUGUCAUAAGAAGGAGCAUAAAAAUUCCCUGUUCUGAUUUUCCUAUUUAAUGGGAAGCUCAAAAAGACAAAAUGGCUUGCCCAUUUCAUCCUGAAAGUUUAGCUUAUACAGUGAUAUGCCACAUAAUGAUAUUUUUGGGUCUACAAUGGACCUCAUAUAUGACAGGUGGUCCCAUAAGAUUGUAAUGGAGCUGAAAAAUUCCUAUUGCCUUGUGACCUCGUAGCCAUCAUAAUGUUGUAGCACAAUGCAUUACAUUUGUGGUGAUGCUGAUAGAAACAAACCAACUGUGCUGCCAGGUGUAUCAAAGUAUAGAACAUGCAAUUAUGUACAGUAUAUAAUACUUGACAAUGAUAAUAAAUGACUAUGUUGCUGGUUUGUGUAUUUACUUUUUAUCAUUAUUUUAGAGUGUUCUCCUUCUACUUAUUAAAAAAAAAUAACUGGAAAACAGCCUUAGGCAGGUCCUUCAGGAGUAUUCCAGAAGAAAGCAUUGUUAUCAUAAGAGAUGACAGCUCCAUGCCUGUUAUUGCCCCUGAAGACCUUCCCGUGGAACAAGAUCUGGAGGUGGAAGACAGUGAUAUUGAUGAUCCUUAUUCUGUGUAGGCCUAGGCUAAUGUAUAUAUUUAUGUCUUAGUUUUUAACAAAAAAAGCUUAAAAAGUGAAAGAAUGAGAAAAUUUAGAAGUAGAAAAAAGCUUAUAGAAUAAGGAUAUAAAGAAAGAAAAUAUUUUUGUACAGCUGUACAAUGUGUUGUUUGUGUUUUAAGGUGGGUGUUAUUACAAAAGAGUCAAAAAGAAAAAAUUAAAAAUUUUAUAAAAAAUUACAGUAAGCUAAUGUUAAUUUAUUAUUGAAGAAAGAAAAAUAUUCUUUUAUAAGUUUAGUGUAGCCUAAGUGUACAGUGUUUAUAUAUAAAAUCUACAGUAGUGUAGAGCAAUGUCCUAGGCCUUCACAUUUACUCGCCACUUACUCACUGAUGCCUACAGCAAUUUCCAGUUCUGCAAGUUCUAUUCAUGAUAAGUGCCCUAACUGUACAGGUGUAGCAUUUAACAAUUUUUUAUAUAUUUGCACUGUUCCUUUUCUAUGUUUAGAUGUGUUUAGAUAGACAGAUCUUUAUCAUUGUGUUACAAUUGCCUGCAGAAUUCAAUAUAGUAACAUGCUGUACAGGCUUGUAGCCUAGGAGUGAUAGGCUAUACCAUAUAGCCUAGGUGUCUAGCAGGCUAUACCAUCCAGGUUUGUGUAAGUACACUCUUAUAUUGUUCACACAAUUACAAAAUUACCUAAUGAUGCAUUUCUUAGAACAUAUGCCUGUCAUUAAGUGAUGCAUGACUUUAUUUGCUUUAUUUGUAAUGAAAUGAAUAUGUUUCCUGGCUUUUUUUUUUUUUUUUUUUUUGAGAACACUCAACACCUAUCUUGCAGGAGAAUAUUGUGUUUGUUUUUCUUUUCAUUCCUAUGUCUCCUGUUAUAGUCUCAGGAUGGGUGAAGUUUUAGUGAGAAGCUCAGUGGCAAGGAGACAAUAUGACUCUUCCAUGGUCAGUAUACCCACAGAAACACUUUUUCCUCAAUCUCAGGAGAAAAAUGAGCCAAAUAUGGAGGAUCCCAUCAGCUGCAGCAAAGCUACUGGCCAUGAAGGGAAGUGAGAGAAGCAAAGAGAAGAGUGAAGCAGAAUGGGAAGGAAAAUGAUGAUUCUAUGGGCACCAAUCAUGUGAUUUUUUUUUUUUCUCUUUGAAAGAUAACCUUCGGCUUAUUAAUUUUAUCAUCUCUUUUCCAAUAUUGAACCCUCAGCCUCUAAGGAUCAGCCGGGUGUAGACUCAGCAUGAUGGCCUGGCCUGCUAUCUAGCAGGGUCCCCUCAAGGCUAUGGUGGAAGGACUCGCUCAGGGCCUAGGAAGCUCUGUUGCAGUUUCCAUUCUUACAUUCCACCUUCUCUUAUGACCUACUCUCCAGCUAUACUGGAUAUGCUAGUCUUUUUCACACUUUGUGCUUUUGCUGUAUUGUUUCCCUCAUCCUAGAGUAUGCUUUUCCUGUUUGUCUGCCUGGUGAGAUAUUAUGAUCUUCAAAUGUGCCUCAUGGAAGCCUUCUCUGAUUCUUCCAGGCUGAGUUAUUUAUUUAUUUCUCCUACAGUUUCUGAACUGUGACUCACUAGUUCUACUUGGUAUGGCAACAUGAUCAUCUGGCGUUGCUAGAGAGUCUCACCUUUAAAGAGUCAUAUUAAGUUUAUUUACAGGACCUAGUGUUGGAUUACCUGAUCACGUAGCAAUUACAACUUCUUUUAUAAUUUACGCCCAAACCUUUAGGUGAGUCUUCUUGAGGCUUUACCAAGGAAACAGGCAGUUUUAGAGUUGGCCUUAAGGAUGUUCUCUGGUGUCAUCAAAGAAAUGGAAAUGCAAAGCAGAGACAUGUGCAUUUAGAUAUGUGUAAGGGCCAGAAGGACUCCACCAAAUUUCAACACUAAGAUAACCACCUGUUACCAGUCAUCAACAAAUAGUUACUGAGGACCUGCCAUGCAUCAGGAACUGCAGAUGCAGGAAAUAAUAUGGACAACAGACACAGAUUCUGCCUCAUUACUUUUGUAGUUUUCUAGUGUUCAACUCUUGAUAUACAUAUAAGAUCCGCAUCAUCUGUUAAACAUAGAGCUUAGAUCCUCUCAUGAGAGUUCAGGCGCAUUCAGGGUGAUGUGGCUGUAGCCUCUGAUUCUCUUAGAUUGGCAGUGAAGGAAGAAUCGCUACAAAGGCAGGAUCCGCUGCACUUCAGAAUCUCACCUCCUGGCCCUAAAAUCCACCUUGAAGAGUCCUUGCCUCCUGCCCAAGUAGCCACAAACUACUCUCCAAAAAGCACAACUCUUCCUUCAACAAGACUCUUUUCUUCAAAAACCACAUGCAAAGUGAAGUCUUCACUGGGUAUGUUUAGACCAGACAUUACUAAAGUAACUACUUGUGGUGAGACAUGAGCUGGUAGCUGUGCGUUUACGUGGGGCUGUGUGCUCAGAAAGGCCCUGUGCUUGGUUUAAUGCUCUAUUGUCGCUGUCUUAGAAUUCUCUGCAUUUUUAUUUUGCCCUGGGCCCCAUAAAUUAUGUGCCUGAUUCUGCAGCCAGACUUUUUGGUCUUUGAGGAUAGAUUACUUGUGUGGGGACUAUGGCUCUUCACAGUGGUACCUCCUUUCUUCUUCAGAUACUGAACUUUAAGAGACAGACACUGUCUUAACUCCAUCACACAGGAACACAACCCUUCACAUCUUCUUACAGAGCUGGGAUUUUCACUCCCUUUUAUUUCUCCCUCUCAGUUCUGUGGUCGUCCUUGAGGCUCGUCUUUUCCUUGGGUAACCAACACUGAAAAUGGUGUCUGCCUUCAAGAACGUGGUAGCUCUCCACAAAGCCUUAGAGUCCUAAGAACAAUAACCAUAGCAGAGUAUGUGCCACACAAGGUAGUGCUGUGAGAUACACACACACACAUGCCCCCAGAAGAAAGGGUUUCAUCACAAUAGAUUACUGAGGGAAAUCCUGUGAGGUGAAGAGGACAGUAUCUCUAUCAAACAGGUAAGAAAAGGCAGAGACUUGAGGACAUCUGCUCCUUCUGUGGGGCAGGAAAUUAUUUCUCCAUUUCAUGUUCCCUUCAAGGGAAAAACAAAACAGGAAGCUCAAACUAGGUUACCCUGCUGCUAUGUGACUUUGUGUAAACCACUUAACCCCCUGAUCUUCUGUUUUUUCCUAGAAACAAAGGCCUGAGAAGGGAUGAGUUCAGCAAUCCCUCUGGGCCCCAAAUUCUCUUAUUCUAGGAAAAAAUGAAUGUUCUUAUAAUGAGAGAUUAAUGCAGAAGGAAGUAAAGACAACUGCAUUGUGGUGGGAAAUUUAUGCCUGAGGUACAUUUUAAUUUUUAAUGUCUUAAUAGCCCCCAGUUUUAAAUAGUCCUGACCUCUUUAAAGAUGGCUGCACCACAUCAUACUGCCUAUUACUGGGAGAAACAAUCCUCUUGUCCUAAGACAUAACAUUUCUUAGAAAAGAUACCGAUCUUAAGAAAGAUUCUACUGAUGAGCUUUCAAUUUGCUCUGUUGUCAGGGAGCCCAUAGAGAUCACAUUUUGAAAAAAUUAACCAAGGGCAGCUGAGGAAAAUUGUCAUAAAGAACUCGUUUUCCUUCUGUAAUAAUAAUUACGUAAGAGCACUGUAAUGAGAAAGAAACAAAUGAAGAGGGGCACAGGAACAGGGCACAAAAAGCAGUGUUGUGCACGUGUCAAGUCGAAUGGGAGAUGGGGUAGAGAUUAAGAGGAAAAUGGACACCAUUUGUUAGUAGAUUAAGCAGAAAGUGUAUCAGUCAGGAUGCUCAUAAUUGCUCUAUCAAAUGGCUAAGGAAGCUAUUUAGCUCUUUGUUUCUUCAGUUAACCAUGAAGGGUGAAUGUUAGAAAUGAAAAGGAAAAAGGUUGAUAAAUUAUACAGAACUGCAGGGUGGAAUACUGCUUAUCUUCCCUGGAGUUAUGGUGAGAAUAGCUUUGAGCAAAUUCCAAAUUUUCAUAUGGGUUCUUCAUUUCUGUCCUCCAUUCAGCUUUCCAUAACAGGCAUAGAUUAUUUAUCACAGCUCCCGUUAUUGCAUCAGCUUGAGUAGUCCUCUGGCUCUGUCUGCAGGAGGAUACUCAUUUUGCAUUUGUAAUUACCAAACUUAAAAGGAGCCAGUUAAUUCUGCUUCUGCUCAGGGGUCUCAUUUAGUAGAAUGAUGUCUUAAGAAAAAAUAUGGGAACUGAAUUUUGUUUGGGCCUGGAAUCCCAAUUACUCUUAAUCCCAGUAUCUCACUGGUAUAGGUAACUAAUGUUUAUAGAAGGGAUAAACUAAUGUUUAUCCACUCUUCCCCCAAAUUUCUUUUCACUGCAUUAAACAAUUGUUAGUUUAGUAAAUUUGACCUGCUAGGGAGCUCAGAAGCAGAAUCCUUCCUUCUUUAAUCUUGCAUUUAUAUAGAAAAGUGUGAGUUGGAGAGGUAACAAUUAUAGUUAAUUAAGUUAAUAUACAUGGUCCAAACAUCAUUCUAGUGAUAUAGGCUCCUGCAGUUAAAGAGUUCCAGUUAACUGGAUUAAGCUCCUCCCUCUGUUCCAUGUAGCAAAUAUCAGUUUUAUAGUAAUAUUAGUUCUAUUUGUCAUAUCUGUUAACAGUUGAAGGUAUCUAUUUUAAAAUCAAAGGUAGUAUUCACUACCAGACAGAAAGCCAACUUUUAAAUUUUAUUUACCUCAAGUUUUGUUUUUGUUUUUAAUGAAGACCAAAGAAAUGUGUAUAUAAAUGGCUUUUAAUGCCAUAGAUACAUUAAAAGUAUAAUGGUAUUUUUAUCAUCAAGCUUCAUUUCAUUGUAGUUUUCAUUAUCCUCUCUCUGCAGUGACUUUUUUCUCCUUUUUAAUUUCCAUAACACUAUGCCAUGUAUUUCUUUCAUAAUGACUGAUGAUGAAUGCUGAUUUUUAACAUUAAAUAUUUUAUGUGAAGAAUUAAACCAUUAGCAGACUGUGCAGAAAUAUGAAUGUAUCAUAUUCAAAUUACCAAGUUAGAUCCAAAAAUUUAACAUGUUUGAUAUAAAAUUUUAGCAAAUUCGUGUAAGUAUAACCUCCUGAAAACUUUAGAGACAGAUAACCCACUGUUCACUUAAGAAACAUAAACAUACAGUUUUCUUUUUCUUUUUCUUUUUUUUUCUGAGACGGGGUCUUGCUCUGUCAUCCAGGCUGGAGUACAUUGGUGCGAUAUCUGCUCACUGCAACCUCUGCCUCCCAGGUUCAAGCAAUUCUCCUGCCUCAGCCUCAUGAGUAGCUGGAACUACAGGCAUGCACCACCAAGCCCAGCUAAUUUUGGUAUUUUUUUUAGUAGAGACGGGUUUUCACCAUGUUGGCCAGGCUGGUCUCGAACUCCUGACCUCCCCUUGGCCUCCCAAAGUGCUGGGAUUACAGGCGUGAGCCACCAUGCCCGGCAAACACACAGUUUUCAAAAUACUAUCCAUUUGUAUAGUGCUUUUUCAGUUUUUAAAGCACAAGUUUAAACAUUUUAUUGGACUUUCACAACAAAAAUAUAAGAGACACAAGAUAUUUUAUUCUCCAUUCUAUAGAUGAGGAAGCCAAGACCUCAUUAAAGUGUGGUGCCCCAGUCUACCUAGCACCUAUAACUAGCAGAGUUCAAAAUACAGUCUAGCUGUAUUGACCUUCAGUGUUUGUGCUGGGUAAAUUCAUCCCCUUUCUAUGAAGAUUUGUCAUUAUUUGGUUCUAGGACUGGAUAUGCAUUCAUUAGUGCAAAUCUAAUCCUUGAGUAGUAUAGGCACACCUUGGAGAUGUCGUGGAUUUGGUUUCAGAGCACUUCAAUAAAGCGAAAAUUGCAGUAAAGUGAGUCACACAGAUCAUUUGGUUUCCCAAGCAUAUAAAAGUUAUGUUUACACUAUAUUGUAGUCUAUUAAGUGUGUAAUAGCAUUAUGUUUUAAAAAACAAUGUACGUGCCUUAAUUUUAAAAUAUUGUAUUGCUAAAAAAAUGCUAAUGAUCAGCUGGGCCUUCGGUGAGUUGUAAUCUUUUUGUUGAUGGAGGGUCUUGCUUCGAUGUUGAUGGCUGCUAACCAGGGUGGUGGUUGAUCAAAAUUGGGGUAGCUGUGGCAAUUUCUUAAAUUAAGACAACAGUGAUUUGCCACAUUGAUUGACUCUUCUUUUUAUGAAAGAGUUUUCAGUGGGAUGCAAUAUUGUUUGACAGCAUUUUAACCACAGUAGAAUUUAUUUCAAAAUUGGAGUGUGUCCUCUCAAAAUGUGUCUCUACUUUAUCAAUGAAGUUUAUGUAAUAUUCUAAACCCACUGUUGUCAUCUCAACAAUGUUCACAGCAUCCUCACCAGGAGUAAAUUCCAUUUCAAGAAACCAUUUUCUUUGCUCAGCCAUAAGAAGCAACUCCUCAUCCUUUCAAGUUUGAUCAUGAGAUUGCAGCAAUUCAGUCACAUCUUCAGAUUCCACUAAUUCUCUUGCUAUUUCUACCAUGUCUGCAGUUACUUCCUCCACUGAAGUCUUGAAGUUCCCAAAGUCAUUCAUGAGGGUUGAUAUCCAUAUCUGCCAAACAUCUGUUAAGGUCAAUAAUUUGAACACCUUUCAUGAAUCACAGAAGUUCUUAAUAGCAGCUAGAAUGGUGAAUCUUUUCCAGAAGGUGUUCAAUUUGCUUUGCUCAGAUCUAUGAGAGGAAUCACAAUGGGAGCUAUAGCCUUAUGAAAUAUAUUUCUUUUCUUUUCUUUUCUUUUUUGAGACGGAGUUUUGGCUCUUGUUGCCCAGGCUGGAGUGCAAUGGUGCGAUCUCAGCUCACCGCAACCUCCACCUACCUCCUGGGUUCAAGCGAUUCUCCUGCCUUAGCCUCCCAAAUUCCUGGGAUUACAGGCAUGUGCCACCAUGCCUGGCUAAUUUUGUUUUUUUUUAGUAGAGAUAGGGUUUCUCCAUGUUGGUCAGGCUGGUCUUGAACUUCCGACCUUAGGUGAUCCGCCCGCCCCAGCCUUCCAAAGUGCUGGGAUUAUAGGCGUGAGCCACCACGCUCGGCCUGCAAUGUACUUCUUAAAUAAUAAGACUUGAAAGUUGAAAUUACUCCUUGAUCCAUGUACUGUAGAAUGGAUAUUGUAAUAGAAGGCAUGAAAGCAACAUUAAUCUCCUUGUACAUCUCCAUCAGGACUCUUGGGUGAUUAGGUCACCCAAGAUUACUGUCAGUGAACAGUAAUCUUUUGAAAGGAGCCUUUUUAAAUAAACAGUAGGUCUCAACAGUAAGCUUAAACACAUUCAAUAAACGAUGCUGUGAACAGAUGUGAUAUUUACACAUAUGUUUAAAACGCUUUUUAUUUAAAGUGAGAGACAUCACAGAACAUAAAACAGAACUACCAUUUGACCCAGCAAUCCCAUUACUGAGUACAUAUCCAAAAGAAAUUAAAUUGUUCUACCAAAAGAAAUGUGUACUCACAUGUUUAUUGCAGCACUAUUCACAAUAGCAAAGACAUGGAAUCAACCUAGGUGCCCAUCAGUGGUGGACUGGAUAAAGAAAAUGUGGUGCAUAUACACUAUGGAAUAGUAUGCAGCCAUAAAAAAUGAAACCAUGUUCUUUGCAGCAAUUUGGGUGCAGCUGGAGGCCAUUAUCCUAACUGACUUAAUGCAGGAAUAGAAAACCAAAUACCGCAUGUCUCACUUAUAAGUGGGAGCUAAACAUUGAGCACCCAUGGACAAAAACAUAGGAACAAUAGACACUGCAGACUACUAGAGGUAGGAGGGAGAGAAGGGGCAAGGAUUGAAAAACUAACUAUUGGGUAUUAUGGUCAGUACCUGGGUGAUGGUACCAUUUGUACCCUAGACCUCAGGGUACAAUGUACCCAGGUAACAAACUUGCACAUGUACCCCCUGAAUCUAAAAUAAAAGUUGAAAUUACAACAAAAGUAAUAAAAAAUAAAAUGAGAGAUGUGUGACUCUAUCUUGAACACUUAGAGGCCAUUGUAGGACUAUUAACUGGUCUGCUUGCAAUAUUGUUGUGUCUCAGGGAAUAGGGAGGCCUGAGGAGAGGAAGAAAGACAAGAACAGCUGGUUGGUGGAGCAGACAGCACACACACUUAUUGAUCAAGUCUGCUGUCUUAUGUGGGUGUAGUUUAUGGUGCCCGAAAUAAUUACAGUAGUAACAUCAAAGAUCACUGAUCACAGAUCACCACAACAGAUAUAAUAAUGAAAAAGUUUAAAAUACUGAGGGAAUUACCCAAAUGUGGCACAGAGACACGAAAUGAGCACAUGCCUUUGGAGAAAUGCUGCUGGCAGACUUGCUCAAUGCAGGGUUGCAACACAUCUUUAAUUAAAAAAAAAAAGCAGUAUCUGUGAAGCAGAAUAAAGUGAGGCACAGUAAAACAAGGUACGCACAAAUUUUAAAAGAGAGCUGAAGUAAUUUUUGUAAAAGUACAGAACUUAGAAG
RNAcentral lists this long non-coding RNA (12269 nucleotides) under Homo sapiens (human). Its description in RNAcentral is "non-protein coding HDAC2-AS2:72". Lineage: Eukaryota; Metazoa; Chordata; Mammalia; Primates; Hominidae. The record is from RNAcentral.